RNAcentral lists this ribosomal RNA (629 nucleotides) under Argiope pulchella. RNAcentral's name for it is "eukaryotic LSU rRNA". It matches the Rfam family "Eukaryotic large subunit ribosomal RNA", at positions 579 to 890 of the family's 3401-position model. The record is from RNAcentral. Lineage: Eukaryota; Metazoa; Arthropoda; Arachnida; Araneae; Araneidae.
GUAUUUGAGCUGGGAUGGACGCAUUUGUUUCCCGUCCGAAGGACCCCGCAACCGGUUCGGAAACGGCCUUAAGGAUGAUCGAUGGCAGUUGGCCGGUGGCUCAUUAUUCGUGGGUCGUCGGCUGUUAGCCGGUUGUCGUCUUGGCUCGUGGCCGGACCGUGGUGUCGCAAGGCCUGUUAUAGGCUGCUUCGCCUCCUCCGUUCGCGGACGCCGGGAUCCCGUGGCAGGGGUUCGCACUUCUGCGGGCGCACGGACAGACUCCGUGGCCCAGCGGUCGCGAUGCGUCCUCGAUGGCUGCGGCUGAACCCGUCGGAGGUUGGCGGUUAGCGGGGAGUAGAUCGGUCACCCACCCGACCCGUCUUGAAACACGGACCAAGGAGUCUAACAUGUAUGCGAGUCAAUGGGUCUCGAUUAAGCCCAGAGGCGCAAUGAAAGUAAAGAUCGGACACGACGCCGAUCGAGUUGGGAUCCAGUAUUCAAUAGAUGCUGGCGCACCAACGGCCCGUUCUGUACAGUUUACUGUUGGAGCGGAGUCUGAGCAUACACGUUGGGACCCGAAAGAUGGUGAACUAUGCCCGGGCAGGACGAGGCCAGAGGAAACUCUGGUGGAGGUCCGCAGCGGUUCUGAC